This 301-nucleotide ribosomal RNA is filed under the name uncultured bacterium. Its description in RNAcentral is "partial 16S ribosomal RNA". It matches the Rfam family "Bacterial small subunit ribosomal RNA", at positions 509 to 808 of the family's 1533-position model. The record is from RNAcentral.
CAGCAGCCGCGGUAAUACGAAGGGUGCAAGCGUUACUCGGAAUUACUGGGCGUAAAGCGUGCGUAGGUGGUGGUUUAAGUCCGUUGUGAAAGCCCUGGCUCAACCUGGGAAUGGCAGUGGAUACUGGCAAGCUAGAGUGUGUCAGAGGAUGGUGGAAUUCCCGGUGUAGCGGUGAAAUGCGUAGAGAUCGGGAGGAACAUCAGUGGCGAAGGCGGCCAUCUGGGACAACACUGACGCUGAGGCACGAAAGCGUGGGGAGCAAACAGGAUUAGAUACCCCAGUAGUCCCUGUCUCUUAUACA